Molecule: unclassified non-coding RNA, 348 nt
Filed under: soil metagenome
Description: partial contains 5.8S ribosomal RNA, internal transcribed spacer 2, and large subunit ribosomal RNA
Rfam family: 5.8S ribosomal RNA (bases 1-120)
Source: RNAcentral
GAUGAAGAACGUAGCGAAAUGCGAUACGUAAUGUGAAUUGCAGAAUUCAGUGAAUCAUCGAGUCUUUGAACGCACAUUGCGCCCCCUGGUAUUCCGGGGGGCAUGCCUGUCCGAGCGUCAUUGCUGCCCUCAAGCACGGCUUGUGUGUUGGGCCUCCGCCCCCCGGCUCCCGGGGGGCGGGCCCGAAAGGCAGCGGCGGCACCGCGUCCGGUCCUCGAGCGUAUGGGGCUUCGUCACCCGCUCCGUAGGCCCGGCCGGCGCCCGCCGGCGACCCCCCUCAAUCUUUCCAGGUUGACCUCGGAUCAGGUAGGGAUACCCGCUGAACUUAAGCAUAUCAUAAGCGGAGGA